GGGGAUAUAGCUCAGUGGUAGAGGACUUGCCUAGCAUGUAUGAAACCUGGACUCAAUCCUCAGUACCACCA
RNAcentral lists this transfer RNA (71 nucleotides) under Fukomys damarensis (Damara mole-rat). It matches the Rfam family "tRNA". From Rfam's summary of the family: Transfer RNA (tRNA) molecules are approximately 80 nucleotides in length. Lineage: Eukaryota; Metazoa; Chordata; Mammalia; Rodentia; Bathyergidae. The record is from Rfam by way of RNAcentral.